GACGAACGCUGGCGGCGUGCUUAACACAUGCAAGUCGAACGGAAAGGCCCUGCUUUUGUGGGGUGCUCGAGUGGCGAACGGGUGAGUAACACGUGAGUAACCUGCCCUUGACUGUGGGAUAACUUCAGGAAACUGGGGCUAAUACCGGAUAGGAGCUCCUGCUGCAUGGUGGGGGUUGGAAAGUUUCGGCGGUUGGGGAUGGACUCGCGGCUUAUCAGCUUGUUGGUGGGGUAGUGGCUUACCAAGGCUUUGACGGGUAGCCGGCCUGAGGGGGGGACCGGCCACAUUGGGACUGAGAUGCGGCCGAGACUCCUACGGGAGGCAGCAGUGGGGGAUAUUGCACAAUGGGCGGAAGCCGGCUGACGCAACGCCGCGUGCGGGAUGACGGCCGUCGGGUUGUAAACCGCUUUCGCCUGUGACGAAGAGUGAGUGACGGUAAUGGGUAAAGAAACACCGGCUAACUACGUG
This 468-nucleotide ribosomal RNA is filed under the name uncultured bacterium. RNAcentral's name for it is "partial 16S ribosomal RNA". It matches the Rfam family "Bacterial small subunit ribosomal RNA", at positions 28 to 507 of the family's 1533-position model. The record is from RNAcentral.